This 1178-nucleotide long non-coding RNA is filed under the name Homo sapiens (human). Its description in RNAcentral is "RAB5C antisense RNA 1, transcript variant 1 (RAB5C-AS1)". Lineage: Eukaryota; Metazoa; Chordata; Mammalia; Primates; Hominidae. The record is from RNAcentral.
AGCGCACACACACUUCUGUGCGUGUGGAACGGUCUCACCCAGACGACCCCCCUCCCCCAAAGGAAAUCGAGAUAUUCCUCUAGGGCUAGAGGGGACAACUGGUUUUGUGGGACAGGAGGAAGGAAAACGGCGACAGACAGCACUCCCUGUCACUUCUAAAAGAGAAGAGGGACAGGUUCCUUCACACCUAGCAAAGAUCCUCCGAUUCUGGAAGCAGGGGGAGCGGAACUUAGGGUACCUCUCUCCCACAACUAGAAUGGACAGGCCAGAGGACAGUCAUAGCGGUUUCCUUAAGGCUCACCAAAGGCAGCCGCUCCGGAUCCGGAUCUCCACCUCCGCCCCGCCCCUCAAUACUCCCAGGUGAUUGACAGUGCGGAGACCAAUGGGAGGCACUCUUGGCCGACCUACCCAGCGGCGCCGGGACACUACUGAAAACCUGUGUGGAAUCAAAGCUCACCGGAGACAGCUGUGGCCAUUGUGCCUAUAACGCCAACACCAGGCAUAUCCUGGAGCCUCAGCUGGAGAAUUUACCUGUCUUGGACAACCUGCCACAAAACUGUGCCCACAUCUAGUUCCAUCUGGUCAUCAGGGCGUCUCUCUUUCUUACACCCAUAACACACAAUCCCCACUUCCGCGCCAGUGUUCAUGAGAAGUGAAAAGGAAGAGGGAAGAGAGGGCUUGUUGGGAGGACAGAGGGGAUGGGGCAGAGUGGGAUUCCUAGCAGGUUCUGGCUGGUGACAAGCUCUUCCCCCAGCCCCCUUGCCAUACCCAGUUCUGGAACAGUUCCUUAUACAGGAGGGAUGGGUAGUCCCCUAGGCCCACCUUUCCAAGGCUGGAGGUGGGCCAAAGCCAGGACUCUGUCCUUCCCACAUACUGUGUGCAUACAUGGCUGUGACUGGGGUGCAGGGGAGAGAAGGGGGUAUAAUAGGCCCAUAGUGACUAAUUAAGUUUCUUCCUCAACCCUGGGGCCCCUGGUGGUGUGAAUGUGGUGCCAAGUAGAUUGGCUGGUGCCUCUGCCCUUCCUAGAGAUAGCAACUGGGCCCUGGGGUACAACGAAGGUGAGGGUGGGGAGUGAUUGCUGUGUUGGCUCCUCCAAAGCCCUGGGGCUCUCAGAGUAACCCCCAGAAACACCCAGAGCCAAUAACUACAAAAAUAAAGAGUUUAUUUCCUAUCCAAAA